This 497-nucleotide ribosomal RNA is filed under the name uncultured bacterium. RNAcentral's name for it is "partial 16S ribosomal RNA". It matches the Rfam family "Bacterial small subunit ribosomal RNA", at positions 28 to 507 of the family's 1533-position model. The record is from RNAcentral.
GAUGAACGCUGGCGGCGUGCCUAAUACAUGCAAGUCGAGCGAACAGACGAGGAGCUUGCUCCUCUGACGUUAGCGGCGGACGGGUGAGUAACACGUGGAUAACCUACCUAUAAGACUGGGAUAACUUCGGGAAACCGGAGCUAGUACCGGAUAAUAUAUUGAACCGCAUGGUUCAAUAGUGAAAGACGGUUUUGCUGUCACUUAUAUAUGGAUCCGCGCCGCAUUAGCUAGUUGGUAAGGUAACGGCUUACCAAGGCAACGAUGCGUAGCCGACCUGAGAGGGUGAUCGGCCACACUGGAACUGAGACACGGUCCAGACUCCUACGGGAGGCAGCAGUAGGGAAUCUUCCGCAAUGGGCGAAAGCCUGACGGAGCAACGCCGCGUGAGUGAUGAAGGUCUUCGGAUCGUAAAACUCUGUUAUUAGGGAAGAACAAAUGUGUAAGUAACUAUGCACGUCUUGACGGUACCUAAUCAGAAAGCCACGGCUAACUACGUG